UUCCAACGUCCAAAAGCUCUCUCUCCAUUCUCUAGUUUCAAGUCUUUGCGUUUUCAAGCAAAGAGAAGAAGAGAAGAAGAAGCCGUGAAGCCUCCUAGUCGCCCUCAUCCACCUUGAAGCCGUGAAGCCUUGGAACCUUGCUUUCAAGAUUCAAGAGUCCAACGUCUCAAGCUCUCCACCAUCAUCUCCAUUCACGGGUUAAAUUGCGUGCUACUUUUAGCGAUGACACAUAGAUUUGAAGAAUUGUAUCCUUAUUAUGGAACUUCUUCAUAAUUUCCAACUCAGCUAACUUAAAUGGAGGAUUUGAGAUGUUUAAGGACUUUGACUCCUCCAACGGUAAAGCCCAAGUGAGGUAAUUUUAGGAAAGUCAUAACAUUCUCAAAAUGAUCUUCAAUAGUUUCAAGUUUUAGUAUAUCUCCUGAAUCUUGGUGAAAGUCUUCUUUUACUAGCUAGGUUUCUUUCUCAUUCACCUUAUUUGAGGGUCUAAUUUCUUGCCUUUUUAUUUCUAAUCGUCACCACUUCCCUUUGGUGGCAUCGUUUCUUAGUCUUUGUCAGGGGAGAAAAUGGUUGAUCUCUAGAUAUUCGACCAUACCAUCUGUUGUUUGAUAAGCUCUUUUCAUGCGACUUAACUAUCUUAUUUUUCUAUAUUUUCUUUGGAUAGUUUAUUUAUUUUUCAAGUAAUUUAUUUGUUUUAUGUUUGACUUGAUACACAUUUAUGCAAACGUACGUAUCAUUGUCAAGAUAGGGAAGUAUUAUGCCCAAAGUUAUCAUACCACGGGGAUUAGUGGCUAACCCACAAUCCUUGGGUAAUCGGAAAUAAAGACACUUAGCAAAAAAAAGAAAAAUAAAAAUAAAAGAAAAUAAAAAAAUAAAAAUGCUACUCUAAAGUACUAAGCCGUAGCAAUGCUCGGGUUUGGUUCUCACCAAAGCCUAAUAAAAACUAAGAGCCUAGUGGUGGUUAUUUACAAUGAGUCGAAAUUGUCACCGAUAAUUGUAAUUUAAAUUUCAAAUAACUAACGAGCAAGAAUUUAAAUGAAAAUUUUAACUAAUAACUAAAUUAAAUAAAGGGAAAAAAAAGUAAGAAAUAAAUAUAAAUAGGGGAUUGGUAGCUAGGGAUGAAUCCUAACCCUAAUUCAAUACUCUAGAUGCUAAUUUGAUUUACGUGCAAUUUAUUAAAGAUGGUAGAAGCCGUACCCAAGGCUUUUUAAGGCUCAAGGGCUGAAAUUCUCUUUCAUGGUAUUCCUACUCCGGUUGAAGGGCCGUAGGAACUCACUUGACAUGAAUUAGAGCCGAUUCAAAGGUCACUAAUUCACAUCAAGAAGCCUAGAGUUCGAGGAAUUAGGCAACCAAGCUCACCAUAAUUGCGAUCAAGCUAAUCAUGUAGUGAACCAUGCUUGUACCUCCCACGAAUAUCAAAUCGGGGUUCUAGUUCUAAAAUCUAAGGAUGUCAUCCCCUAAAUUUUAAUCUAGACUUAUUAAAACACAUACCCAAGAGUUGACAAUUCCUAAGCCUGCAUUCUAAUCAAUUAUCACAAAACACAAGCAUCCAAUAAUUAACAAAUUCUACAUAUAAAUUAAAUUAAGCAUCUAUUACAUCAAAUUUGGAUUAGUGCACACAACCCUAACCCCCAACAAAGAAAUUACUCACAACCCAUAAUUAUAGACAUUAAAAUUACAAAAUUCAAAGAGGAAAAAGUGAAGAGAAGUAUGGAGUAACAAGAACAAACCACAAAUUGCUAUAGAGCAAUUAUGGCUAGCCUUGAUUUACGGCUCCCCACUAUUACCCAAAUUUGAUAAUGAUGAAGCUCUUAAUGCUUGGGCUUCCCCCUUUGAAUAUUGUGAAAUUGAUGAGAAGAUGGAAUUUUGGUGAGGAGGUGUGGAUCCUGGUGAGGAGAGGGAAUUUUGGUGAGGUGGUGUGGAUCUUGGUGAGGAGAGGAAAAGAUGAGAAGAAGGAAUUUUGGUGAGGUGGAGUGGUUCUUGGCAAGAAGGAAAAAAUGGAGAAGGAAAGGAAAGAGAGCGGCCCAAAGGGCUGCCUCUGUUUUGGUGGUCGGCUAGAGUAGGUCGGGCUGUUGAUGUUAGGAGGAAAAUGGGUGUAUGGGGUCCUGGUGCUGGUCGAAGGGUGAGAAGAGAAUCUGGUAGACACGUGGGUGGUGGUGAUUGCAAGAAAGGAAAAUGAAUGGAUGAUUGGCAGGUUGUGUGCGUGAGGUAGAGAGAAUGAAGGAUAAGGUCACGUGGCUGAUAGGUUUUGGAAGUGAAUGAAAACGAGUAGUUGCCAAGUGUCAAAUGGAUAAUUUACCAAUGGGUAAUUAUCAAAGCUUGCUGCACGUUUUGUGUUUUUGAUUAAUUACCCAAUUAGGCUUAAUCAAGUAAUUAAGCUUAAUUAAGUAAUUAACAAAUCCACAAUUUUAUUCUUUCGUCGAAAACUCAAAUUUUCACCACUUUCAUCAAAAAUAGAUUAAUUACAUAUUAAUUGACUUAAAGAUUAGCUUAAUUCUAGUAUUUAGAAUGCAAUUAAUGGGUAAUAAUCAAUGUUUAAUAGGGUUUUCGGUGCAAAGAAGGGAAAAAUAUGUAAGAUAGAGGUGAGUGUGCAAUUUUGGAGUCUUGUUUAAUGAGGAUUGCAAAGAAUCUAGAAAUCUUGAUGUUCUGACAAAAGAAAGAAACUUUAAUGGAUAUGAGAGAACGUGAUUUGUUCUGCGUGCAACAAAAGAAGUUUAACUAAGUAUUUUAACUGACGUGGCAAGCUCUUAUUGGUUGGAUGACAUUAUUUAAGAGAUGGACUGAUACGUUCCAUGUCGGAUUUACCCAUUUUACUAAAUAUAAGGAGAAACAUAAUCUCAGCAACACGACAGAAAAUCCUGGGAUUGCAAUCCCAGCAGCAGAUUUCAGCAGCGGGAAUCCUGAAAUGGUAAUCCCAGCAAUAGGAUUUGUGGGAUUACAAUCACAGCUAUAUGCCAAAGGCGAGGCAGCAAGGUUAACGCUACAUCACACAUCAACUCUCCUAUAAAUUGAGAGUUCUUACUAUUGUGAAAGGCAUUCAGAAACAACCCCAAAAAACCCAUAUGCAAUGCAACCCAAGAAAUUCCCCAUACUCAUCCCAAAAAACCAUCCAGACCCAACCUAGAAACACAUAUGCAAGCCAAGAAACAAAACCAAGAAAUUUCCCCAACACCUAACCCAAAAACCCACUUCCAAUCCAAAAACUCAUCAAUCAAUCCCAAUUCGAGCUUUCAUGGUUGCUGCAAAUCUCUCAUCUUCACUACAAAUCAUGCUUUUCUAGCUCCCAUGCCGCAUGCAUCUUGCCAAGCCUAUUUUGGAAUGUUCAAUUCACUGCCUUGAAUAUGUAAGGAGUUGUCAGGAAGAACACAACAGCAAGCUUCCUUGGAUUCUCAUGUCCUUCGAAGUUUGCUAGGCCUAGUCUUCGCUAACUCAUAUAAAGGGGACAAGAUUUUGGGCUCAGUCAUGGUGAUUUCACUACCGUACAACUCCGCUCAAAAGUGCCCCUACACCUGUUUAACCUACCAGUUGUUAUUUCAGUUUCUUAUUUUAGACUGCUUUGAUCACCUUGGCAUGGGGAUGUGAUCUAAAUUCAUAGUAUUUUAUUCAGGGUUUAUGACCCAACUACGAGGAGUUGAUGUAAUUUAAAUUUGUGGAUCUUUUUUGUUGAGAUAUCUAUACUCUAGAUGCUGUUUUGUUUAACUUUGUUGUGGAGUUGUUGGAUUUGGGGAGCAGGGUGGCUUCAUGGGAAUAAGGUUGAUUUGUUAGAAGUGAAAUGUGUUUUUUUUUUUUUUUUACAGGUUUUGGGUUGUCCACUUUUAGGGGAGGUUCUGCUGAAUUGUCGAUAAAAUCUUCUUUUACAAGUGGGCCCCGUAGGGCUACCUUGGAUUUCAGGGUGAAAUUUCAGGGCGGGUUCUGUCAUGGACAAGUUGACACUUCAUUACCCUUACUAUUGCCAUAUGGUCAGUAGGCUUGUGAAACUUAUG
Rosa rugosa (rugosa rose) is the source of this 3980-nucleotide long non-coding RNA. RefSeq lists it as uncharacterized. The transcript has 3 exons. The record is from RefSeq and is a predicted model, not a curated record. NCBI's taxonomy places the organism in Eukaryota, Viridiplantae, Streptophyta, Magnoliopsida, Rosales, Rosaceae.